UACGGAGGGUGCUAGCGUUGUCCGGAUUUAUUGGGUUUAAAGGGUGCGUAGGUGGCUUGUUAAGUCCGGGGUGAAAGCCCACAGCUCAACUGUGGAACUGCCCUGGAUACUGGCGAGCUUGAGUCCAGACGAGGUUGGCGGAAUGGAAGCUGUAGCGGUGAAAUGCAUAGAUAGCUUCCAGAACCCCGAUUGCGUAGGCAGCUGACUAGGCUGGUACUGACACUGAGGCACGAAAGCGUGGGGAGCGAACAGG
Molecule: ribosomal RNA, 253 nt
Filed under: uncultured bacterium
Lineage: Bacteria
Description: partial 16S ribosomal RNA
Rfam family: Bacterial small subunit ribosomal RNA
Source: RNAcentral